CAGAGGUCUCGAGCGUUGUUCGGAUUCAUUGGGCGUAAAGGGUGCGUAGGUGGCUAGGUAAGUCGGAUGUGAAAUCCCGGGGCUCAACCCCGGAACUGCAUUCGAUACUGCUUGGCUUGAGUACUGGAGAGGAGAUUGUAAUUUACGGUGUAGCAGUGAAAUGCGUAGAUAUCGUAAGGAAGACCAGUGGCGAAGGCGGAUCUCUGGACAGUUACUGACACUGAGGCACGAAGGCCAGGGGAGCAAACGGG
This 251-nucleotide ribosomal RNA is filed under the name uncultured bacterium. Its description in RNAcentral is "partial 16S ribosomal RNA". It matches the Rfam family "Bacterial small subunit ribosomal RNA", at positions 526 to 776 of the family's 1533-position model. The record is from RNAcentral.